This 515-nucleotide ribosomal RNA is filed under the name uncultured bacterium. RNAcentral describes it as "partial 16S ribosomal RNA". It matches the Rfam family "Bacterial small subunit ribosomal RNA", at positions 28 to 523 of the family's 1533-position model. The record is from RNAcentral.
GACGAACGCUGGCGGCGUACCUAAUACAUGCAAGUCGAGCGGACUUUCAAGAAGCUUGCUUUUUGAAAGUUAGCGGCGGACGGGGGAGUAACACGUGGGCAACCUGCCUGUAAGACGGGGAUAACUCCGGGAAACCGGGGCUAAUACCGGAUAAUAUCUUUCUUCGCAUGAAGGAAGGUUGAAAGGCGGCGCAAGCUGCCGCUUGCAGAUGGGCCCGCGGCGAAUUAGCUAGUUGGUGAGGUAACGGCUCACCAAGGCGACGAUGCGUAGCCGACCUGAGAGGGUGAUCGGCCACACUGGGACUGAGACACGGCUCAGACUCCUACGGGAGGCAGCAGUAGGGAAUCUUCCGCAAUGGACGAAAGUCUGACGGAGCAACGCCGCGUGAGCGAAGAAGGUCUUCGGAUCGUAAAGCUCUGUUGUCAGGGAAGAACAAGUACCGUUCGAAUAGGGCGGUACCUUGACGGUACCUAACCAGAAAGCCACGGCUAACUACGUGCCAGCCGCCGCAGUAA